Long non-coding RNA from Corvus hawaiiensis (hawaiian crow), 8312 nucleotides. RefSeq lists it as uncharacterized. The record is from RefSeq and is a predicted model, not a curated record. Lineage: Eukaryota; Metazoa; Chordata; Aves; Passeriformes; Corvidae. The transcript has 3 exons.
CAUGGCAGAAGGGUUGAAAGGAGGUUAUCUUUAAGGUCUCUUCCAACCCGAACUAUUCUAUGAUGCCAUAAAAGAAAAGUAGAAAGAGUAGGAGGAUUUUACAAGGGUACGGUUUUUCUAUUUGUAUGUGAAUAUUGCUAAGAAAGUAACCAGCUUUGGUACGCUUAUUUAGACUCCUACAAAACUGGAGAAACUGCACAACAGUCAAUGGAGUAGCACUGCUGAGGACGCUGGUGGCUUUAGUCCUGCCAGGACCACAUGGAGAUAAGGUGUGCAAGUCUGGACCAGGGACUGAUAUUUGUGCCUUUCCUGAGGUGACAGAGAAGGAAGCUUUCCUCAUCUGGUGUGCCAGCAGACAGAAAAAUGAAGGUUUGGUGCAGAGGGAGGAAACCUGCACGUGUGGCAGAGCUCAGAUUGCUGUCAAAAAGCUGGAGAAGUUGCAGACAAAACAUCAGCUCUUUGGAUAAUUACAGAAGCCCUUUGAAGCCUUCAAAAGCCCAUUGUGUUUUUCUUCACUUAUGAGUGAGAAUUUUGGGGGAAAGUAAAUAAAAUGCUGCAGUUUCAAAGUGAAAAAACCAAUGGCAAGUGAAGAUGUCUCAGCGUUGACCUUGAGCACUGGUGCUUAGUGCCUGACAAAGGAAACUUCCCUACAUCAAGUUGAGCUGAGCACCGUGUUUCACUCACUGGCUGCUGCAGCAGCUUGUCUGAAAGUCAAUGGGAUUAAUGCUGCUGAAAUAUAUGGUUUAUUUAGCUAUUCUUACUGACCCAUGAACAUACCUACUGUAUAAUUUAUUGGAAUGUUAGGAGUUCAGUCCUGUGAUGUUUGUGAUAGAAAAUCUUCACUUUGAGCCAGUGGGAAAUUUUGUUAGGGUGAGGAGUGCAGGCCUGGCCUCUGCUUUGCCUUUUUUCUUUUGCAUUGCAACACAAUUAACCUUUUCAUUAGAAGAGCUCUGUUCCAAAUAAGCAAACUUCUCAAUGUGUAUUACUGAACCAUUUCAAGCUGUCUCUUGCUUUGAAACAAAACAUCUUUGUUCCAGCCAUGCAUGACAUUUGAAGACCUAUUUAUACAGUGUGUCAGCUCCAUUUGUUUUCUUCAUCCUGAUGUUUUCCUCUGUAUUUUUAGUUACCCCUCCAGAUUGCAAUGAGUGAGGUUGCUUCUGGUUUCCUCCUGUGCUGCUCCAGACUGAGGCACUGACUCGCUUUGUCCUUUCUCCACUUUUGUGGGCAGAGGUGAAACAACCCAAAAUCAGACACAAUUCUGCUUAUUUCAUCCUCUUUGUACUGAGACCAGCAGCACCAGGCUGCUGUGGGGUGGAGAGAUAGCAGAAGGACCUGCUGUUAAUGACAGUUUCUCUCCUGAUAUCCUGCCUGUGGGAUGCACAUAGCUGCAAUCCCUUCUGCUGGAGGGGACUCACUGAGGGACAGACUUCCACACUGCAUCAGUAAAUUAGCCCUUCUUGCAAAAUACCUGCUUUUUCCUUAGACAUUCAUCAUUUGUCCUAAGUCUCUAACCAGUAAUUCCUGUUUGGCAGCACAAUGCUAACUGAUCGAAGAAAAUCCACCAAAAAUUGAAAAAGAAAAAAAAAUGUAUCAAGAUAUUGAGUAAUAAAGCUUUUAACAUCCUGAUUUUAAUAUUGACUAAGUGUAAAUAAUUAUGGUGUUUGCCUCAUUCUCUCCCUUGUAAAAAAUUUAUCUGUCUUGGGACAUGUCUUAUCUUCCAGAAGGGAUCCAGGGUAGUGCUGUCCCUGCUACUCAAGCAGCAACAUAAUGUCUAGCCCAGUACUGGCACUACCUAUGAAAUGAAAGUCUAAUUCCUUCUUGAAAUCCUUUGCACAACGUACCAGCUGAAGGUUUCAAGCUGCUUUAACACAUGCAGGGUGUCAGGACACUACUGCAAGCCUCACUUUAACCAGAAAAGGAGCUGAAGGUGCCAGCCCAGCAGUGGUGAGCAUGGAGUUGCAGUAGCAGAGCCUCAUCUGCUCUCUCCAAUAUUGUUGUCACUGAGAAGGUUGGGGAAGAAGGGUGAAAUAGCUCCAUGCAAGCAACACUGUUCCUGCCAGGUACUUCGUGCCUCACUCAAAGCCACUGAUAAGACCAAGAAAGGCAUCUGCAUUGACCUUCUGCAUCCCCAUCCAUAUAAUAGCAGACAGAAGGGCUGUAAGAACAGAGAUUAAACUUCAGAGCACCUCACAGCUGUGUUUUAUGUAGACACUCCUUCCAAUUCCUGGGAAAGUGCACGAUCUCCUCUGGAUGUGGAACUGCAGGUCAUUUCCAUGCCAAAUACUUAAUGUGUCCAGCUUUUGCAUGUGAUGGAUGGGCUUCUGCUGCAAGAAGUGGAGGCAUUGGCAUGUGAGGAGGAAUGCCUUCAAUACCACGUGCUUCAAAAGCCAGGCUUGCGAGCUUUGCCGUGCGUUCCAGCAGCUGGGGUAGAGCUGCGUGCAUGGUCCCUGCCAGCACAAAUGAAACCAAGGCAUCCAUAUGCUGUGCAUUAGGUGUGUUUGAUCUCCUGAUCUCUGGGUUGCUGCUCCGAUACUCCUUCUUCCUCUCUGUAACAGUCUGAGGAGUACAGAGCGCAGUGUUGAAACUUGUAAGUCUGUGUGUGUUUAUAGGCUCUGUGAUGGGAACUGCAAAGCUUAACACAAAACAGUUGAGAAAAUGUUGCUGGCCACAGCCACAAAACCUGUCCUCAUCUGUUCCGUGAUGGGGUGGAAAAGAAAACUCCUCAAGUUUAAUUUUCCUGAUUAAAGAUGAAGGAAAAAGAACUGCCAAAGUGGAUGGAAUUUAGUCCAAUUGAUGUGACACCUGGAUUAGCAAAGAAAAAUGCAAUCUCCUCUGUGUGCAGGAAUUGUGGCCAUGCAUGGCAAGACCGCCACAAAGACACUGCAGCCCUGCAUGGACAAGGGACAGCUUCCGUAACCACAGGCUUGAAGCCUGCCCCUGUGUGGAUUACUGUCACUGCUCAGCACACAUUUUCAAGUCAGUUAUUGCAGUGACUCAGUUGUGUGUCACUAAGAAGCUACAGACACCUCUGAUCCACAUUAAAGGUGGUGGUGAGAUAGGAGAGGAUGGCUCCACUUCAUAGAAGAUUUGCUGGCUCCACGGCAUUGUCUCAUGCAGAUUGGGAAACUGGGCAACACUGUAACUUGGAAAUUAUACAAUGGGGAAGCACAAGCAACAACCAGGUAGCAGAAGAACAAAGUCCUGCACUCAUUUUGAAGAAACACAAGAUGGAAAUAACCAAACUUAGCCAAUAUCCAUGCUAAAGACAACAGUGUCACAGGCCAGUGACUGUCAAAGACAUGAAGGAAGGAUGGCUGCUAUCUAUACAGCUAUGUGGAACCUGAACAAGGCAGGACCCUGCACCCAGCCCCAUAUUCUGGUGAUACCAAAGGUCAGUACACCUUUCUUGCACUCCUCUGUCUCUGUAGCAGAGAUACCCACUGUGAGCCAUACCUGCUGGAGGGGGCUGCUAGGAUGGCACAUCCAUUGGAUGUACCACCCAGCCCUGUUGAAGAACAGGCUGGUCUGCCUACUCCAUACAAAUAUUGCUCUACUGAGCAAGAACCAGGUCCAGGCGAUACGUGGGCUCUGUUCCUUUAAAGCAACAAAGGCUAGACACGUUUCUAGAUUCAGUUAAAAAAGAUGACCCACAUGGAGCUCACAUAACCCCCAUUGCUGAAGUAUAAACUUGGCCCUGACACAGACACAGACAGAAAGUAGUUGGCAGAUUGGUUUGGGAUUGAGUAGUUUCUAGAUUUCUUACACAGAAACUAGGUUUCUUAGUCUAUAACCAAAUAAGAGAAGGAUGUAGCCCUGAGAAGAUGGCUCUAGAAGUGCCAUUCUCCAUUCUGACCUUCAGCUUCCCCCCCCACAUACUACUGUGACUACCCCAGCCCACACCUCUUCCAUGUAUUCCUAGUCCAACCCUCGUACCAACAUUAUGAUGCAAUGAGACCCUGGCUAUGGAGAGUGAAACACAACCAUAGGGAAACAUAUGAUGUCUUAACAAAAUUAAUGCAGUGAUCAAACAUCAGGAAGGGGACAGGAGACAAUUACAGGGAAAGCCAACCUAUAUGCAGAGAUUCUUGUUUGCAGCCUUCAGCCUCAUACUUAUCUCAAGCCUGGUACACUGUCAGCGCAGUGAGAGUGUAAGUGUCCCUGUCCUAAGAAGGGAGAAACAAAACCGUGGAUUCCCCAAAGAGAUAACAAUUCGAGUGGGCACAUCAUUUUUAAAUGGCUUGCAACUGAGGGGCAAAAAUACUCUCUACCCCUGUGAGAGUGCUACAUGCAGGAAUCUACCAAUACCAAUCAGACAGCUACAGGGUUCAAGCAUUGUUCUGCCAACUAUAACCUGGAGGGUCAUAGAUAAGAGGAGGGAAGGCCCACGUGCUAAAAGCACAUGCUGAGGUCUAUCCUGCUUCAUGUAUGAUUCCUACCCCAGCCGCACCAGGGCAGGUUAUGCCACUGGGAGCCUUCUGUGCUGCGCGUGGCCUGUGAGAUUUCAGGUUGAGGAAACACACCACUGAAGAGGCCCAUGCAAUGCUGCUGAUGCCGACAUGUGCUGUCAACCCUGCAGAAGGUGGGAGCAGCAGGGCAAAAAGUAGAUCAAGUAAUCAGACCAACAGCAUAUCCAAGUAGAAAAGUCCUACCUACACACACAGACUAGCUGCACCCAGAAUUUGGGGCCACUAGCAGCAUGACUGAUCCUGCUAAUCUCACUAAGGCUCUAACACGAACCGUGCAAGAAGUGUUCCAACUGUCUAAUGGAGCUGGGGAUCCCUGCUCUGUUCAUCACCUGCUGCGGCACCAGGAUAUUCUUGGGAAAUUCACUGGGAGGAAUGCCAGCACUAUCAGUAAGAUGAAUUCUAAUUUCCUGUCUCCAGCGUGGAGUUUCCCUUCAGCCAGGGAAUUGGAAACUAUCCCUUGCAGACAUCCAAAUCUACCAGUAAGACUCCUGCAGUGAUCCCCAAUAUUUGGAGAUUACAUCACAUGAGGAGAUAAAAGGCAAGUGAAUGAUAAUAGGAAACUGGUGGAAAGAGUGGUCACAGAGCUCCCCUUGACAAAAUGUGCUCUUGAUCCUGGUCGGUGUCUGCCCACCUAAAAUACACGUGCUGUUACGGGCUAUAUGGGUACACCAAUCAACACGAUGGCAGCUGCAUUACUGAACUACUCAGUAACACCUUGCAAGUUUCUGUAAGCAACACUCCCCUCUGCCUGUGGAUCCCCAAACUGGUCAUGAGCAGGGCAUCAAUGUUCUUUUGGCAGCUUCCAAUGCACUGCCAAGGUAUCCCAAGUUUGCUUCCAUAAUUUAACAGUUUUAGGGAUAGGUCCAAUCCCUGCAAUCAGCUAAUUUUCUGCUGCUUGAUGGAUUAGAUUAGAGCCAUCAGUGUGACUACAAGCAGUCUCUAGGAAUGUGGGUCACAGGGGUCUGGAGGAAAGAUUAACAACCAGGAGUGAAGGGAGGCUUGUCACCUUGUGCUGAGAUGCCGUCAUGGCUCAGUAGGGAUAUUCAGCUGUCCAAUAAGUAUGGGUGUGAAGACCUAGAGCCUUAAACAAAAUGCUACGAAAAACUGCUGAAAUAGGACCCAGAGCAAUCAAGUGGAAACACCAGCACUGACACCAGGCAUGAUGGGUUGAAACAAGGCACUAGAGGUAAGUGCUAAAGAAGCUACCACCAGACAUCAUACAUGAAUGAGCAAUAACCACUGACCAAGCACUAAACUCUGUAAAAGGCUAAUAGACAGAAGGGAAGGUGGAGAAGACUGACUGCAGGAUGUCCCCAUCCUGAUAGGCACUUGGUAGAUGUGCUCCAGGGAUGCUGAGACUUCUCUGCACCACAGACACCACAUGCUGAGCACUUGUUUGGUCCCUGCUCUGUUGUAAGUUCUGCUGGGGACAACUGGGGUGCUAAGCUGAGCUGUGGCCAGGGAACAUCACCACAUUCAUAGGGGCUGCCUUAGCAUGGAGACAUGGUUUGUGAACUGAAUAAAGCCCUUUGAUAGAGGUGUACUUUGUUACCCUUCUGUCUGCAACUUGUUGAGAAAAUGUUUAUAGUCUCACAGCAUCUUUGCUUAUCUCAUACUGCAUGGACUGUGCUGACUUGAUUGUGCAGCAGACAGAGUUUGCUGGGGGGAUUUCACACCCCUGGGAGAAGCAGAUACACAUUUUGCAUGUGUGUGUAUGUGUGCUUCAUUUACACAUACACAGACACAAAUACGACUAAUUAUACACACACACACACAUUUUUUCAAAACAAACUAGUUUACUGAAAACACUUGUCUUCUGGUGGGAAAGCUGAGAGAACAAACACAUGACAGAUGCCUGUCAUGUUGUGCAAUGUGCCAGCAGAAAAUGGUUGGAUACUGUGGCAUUAAAGCAGCAAAGAUCUCUGAGCAGUAGUUCCUGGUCCCAAGCCCCAGGGUGUAAAGGAAUUAGAAUUUAAAAAUUGAAAGACAUCCAGGACAGUACAGGACAGGAUGGGACAGGAUAGGAUAGCCCAGAGCAGCAUGUGUUCAAUAUAGGUUUGCAAAGGUUGUCUCGCACCUGUGAUGCAUCUCAAAACAGGUGUUCCCCAAAGGAAAAGAACGUAUGUCCCGGAAAAGUAAAAUCUUCCCUCAGGGAACACAGGGUCUCUGUGUGUCUUGUUCAGAGUGUGGGAGAAAGGCUCACAGACCCCACUGGAUGCAUGUGAUAGGCUGAGCCCCACUGCUUAAGCUAUGGUGCUGUGGUCUCUCACAAGACCAGUGUGAAGUCAUGAGGUUUUGUUUGGGUUUUUUGUCACAAUUCUCAAAGCUGUUUCCUGACUGUCCAGCUCCCUGAGGAAGUCCCUUGGAGGCAGUCUGUGUGCAGGCACCUGUAGGUGUUUAUGCACACCUCUGUCCAGCACCCCUCCAGCAGGAGCCUGGGGUAGGCAGCAGGGCUUAUAGGAACUGCAUCCGCCAUAAGUGUCCUGCUCCACUCAGCUCAUUCCUGCAGCUCUUUUCCAUGCUCCUUCUUUCACUACUGUGCCAAGGACCUGACCACCCAGGUGGGAACAGGCAGAGCAUUUUCCUAUGGUUGCAACAAGAGCAAGAGUCUGUUUUCUAGGGCCAGAGAAUCAAGAAUGCUGGGUGUAGAUGACAGUCCAUGUGCUAGUCUGCCUCUGGGCACCUUCUCUGUCUCCCUUGUCCAGCUGAACAAAGGCUCUUGAUUGCUGAGGAUUCUCUCACAUGACCAGAAAAAUGAAUAAAAAAGCAAAGAAGGAAAGAAUGAAAUGUCACGAGACAGAGAAAAAUAGGAAUCUAGCAGAAGGUUCAGGCUGGGAGCAGAGUUGGUGAACACCUUCACCAGAGGGAGAGAGACUAACUUAAAAUACCAAUUUAAAACCCAACCCAAACAAAAAAAAACCAACACAAGAAUAUUUGCACCAUCUGCUUGCUGUUUGCUUGUUUUCUGAACAUUUAGGGCACAGUCAGAUCAUAGCUUUGACCCAGCCUCCUAGGUUUGGAACACCCCUCUGUAUUGCAAACUGAAAUUCUUGCCUCACUGAUGUUGUCUGGAACCUGAAGUUUUGACCUGCCUGUCCCCAAGCAUGGUCUCCGUCCCCUGGGCACAAGAAGAGCUGGCAGCAUGUAUGAGUACAGGAUCCUGCAGCCAAUCAGCCAUGGCACUUCCCAUUAGCCCCUGAAGAAAUUCAGUCCUGAGUUCUGCUUUGGGCGUGCAGGCAAAUGUGCUUUCCUACAGGCAUCUUCCCCACUGCAACCCCCCAGAACCUGUCCUUGCAUUUCUAUUUAAUUAGAGACACCACAUGACACCAGGACUGGGAUCUGAUCCCUGCACUUUUUAGAAGAAUGAAUUACACAGUGUUCUGAUAGAUUUCUACAUGAAACAGGUCUAAAUGGAUACUCAAACCAAACUCGUCCCAUUCGUGAAAAAACAGCCUCCAUUUAGUAAAAAUGGACAAUUUAUUUCUGUCUUUUCAAAUGUGAUUGCAAUUAUAUUUUGUAAAUCUAUUCAUUUGAUUGCACUAUCAGCAGAUUCAUUUUAAAGUAGUCCUCCACAUGCAAUGGCAGCAACCCAGCAUGGUAAAGCAAGAAAUUCUCAGCUUGUACCUGACCACAAACUGAUGGUUUGGAUCUUCAAUUUUUGAGAAAAAAAUCCAGUUACUUCUUUUUGUACCUUUAAAAGACUAACUACAGUUUCUUCUGACCAUGCUGUCUCUUAUAGCAUACAAGAAAAGCUUAAAUCCUGUAUAUCGCAAAAUAAUAAUUUAUAUAGGUGGUGUUGCCUUAGGUUUUAACUUUCAUACUUUUCAAAUCCUGCACUGCUUAGUG